Molecule: ribosomal RNA, 253 nt
Filed under: uncultured bacterium
Lineage: Bacteria
Description: partial 16S ribosomal RNA
Rfam family: Bacterial small subunit ribosomal RNA
Source: RNAcentral
UACGUAGGUGGCAAGCGUUGUCCGGAAUUACUGGGUGUAAAGGGCGUGUAGGCGGGAUCUUAAGUCAGAUGUGAAAUUCCAGGGCUCAACUCUGGCGCUGCAUCUGAAACUGAGAUUCUUGAGUGCUGGAGAGGAAAGCGGAAUUCCUAGUGUAGCGGUGAAAUGCGUAGAUAUUAGGAGGAACACCAGUGGCGAAGGCGGCUUUCUGGACAGUAACUGACGCUGAGGCGCGAAAGCGUGGGGAGCAAACAGG